UGGGGAAUAUUGGACAAUGGGCGCAAGCCUGAUCCAGCCAUGCCGCGUGAGUGACGAAGGCCUUAGGGUUGUAAAGCUCUUUUUGGCGGGGACGAUAAUGACGGUACCCGCAGAAUAAGCUCCGGCUAACUUCGUGCCAGCAGCCGCGGUAAUACGAAGGGAGCUAGCGUUGUUCGGAAUCACUGGGCGUAAAGCGCACGUAGGCGGAUAGUUAAGUCAGGGGUGAAAUCCUGGGGCUCAACCCCAGAACUGCCUUUGAUACUGGCUGUCUCGAGGUCGAGAGAGGUUGGUGGAAUUCCUAGUGUAGAGGUGAAAUUCGUAGAUAUUAGGAAGAACACCAGUGGCGAAGGCGGCCAACUGGCUCGAUACUGACGCUGAGGUGCGAAAGCGUGGGGAGCAAACAGGAUUAGAUACCCAAGUAGUCCCUGAGCGGGCUGGCAAGGCGCAU
This 448-nucleotide ribosomal RNA is filed under the name uncultured bacterium. Its description in RNAcentral is "bacterial SSU rRNA". It matches the Rfam family "Bacterial small subunit ribosomal RNA", at positions 355 to 825 of the family's 1533-position model. The record is from RNAcentral.